CAGUCGCCACGGUAAUACGUAGGGUGCAAGCGUUAAUCGGAAUUACUGGGCGUAAAGCGUGCGCAGGCGGUUAUAUAAGACAGAUGUGAAAUCCCCGGGCUCAACCUGGGAACUGCAUUUGUGACUGUAUAGCUAGAGUACGGCAGAGGGGGAUGGAAUUCCGCGUGUAGCAGUGAAAUGCGUAGAUAUGCGGAGGAACACCGAUGGCGAAGGCAAUCCCCUGGGCCUGUACUGACGCUCAUGCACGAAAGCGUGGGGAGCAAACAGGAUUAGAUACCCCUGUAGCCCUGUCUCUUAUACA
This 301-nucleotide ribosomal RNA is filed under the name uncultured bacterium. RNAcentral's name for it is "partial 16S ribosomal RNA". It matches the Rfam family "Bacterial small subunit ribosomal RNA", at positions 509 to 809 of the family's 1533-position model. The record is from RNAcentral.